This 351-nucleotide ribosomal RNA is filed under the name uncultured bacterium. RNAcentral describes it as "bacterial SSU rRNA". It matches the Rfam family "Bacterial small subunit ribosomal RNA", at positions 8 to 350 of the family's 1533-position model. The record is from RNAcentral.
AGAGUUUGAUCAUGGCUCAGGAUGAACGCUAGCUACAGGCUUAACACAUGCAAGUCGAGGGGCAGCAUGGUCUUAGCUUGCUAAGGCCGAUGGCGACCGGCGCACGGGUGAGUAACGCGUAUCCAACCUGCCUUACACUCUUGGACAGCCUUCUGAAAGGGAGAUUAAUACAAGAUGUUAUCAUGAGUAAGCAUUUUCGCAUGAUUAAAGGUUUACCGGUGUAAGAUGGGGAUGCGUUCCAUUAGAUAGUAGGCGGGGUAACGGCCGCCUAGUCUUCGAUGGAUAGGGGUUCUGAGAGGAAGGUCCCCCCANAUUGGAACUGAGACACGGUCCAAACUCCUACGGGAGGCA